RNAcentral lists this ribosomal RNA (401 nucleotides) under uncultured bacterium. RNAcentral's name for it is "bacterial SSU rRNA". It matches the Rfam family "Bacterial small subunit ribosomal RNA", at positions 28 to 424 of the family's 1533-position model. The record is from RNAcentral.
GACGAACGCUGGCGGCGUGCCUAACACAUGCAAGUCGAACGGGGUUGUGAGAGCUUGCUUUUGCAACCUAGUGGCGGACGGGUGAGUAACGCGUGAGUAACCUGCCUUACAGAGGGGGAUAACGUCUGGAAACGGACGCUAAUACCGCAUGACAUAUAAUUACCGCAUGGUAAAGAUAUCAAAGGAGCAAUCCGCUGUAAGAUGGACUCGCGUCCGAUUAGCUAGUUGGAGGGGUAACGGCCCACCAAGGCGACGAUCGGUAGCCGGACUGAGAGGUCGAACGGCCACAUUGGGACUGAGACACGGCCCAGACUCCUACGGGAGGCAGCAGUGGGGGAUAUUGCACAAUGGGGGAAACCCUGAUGCAGCAACGCCGCGUGAGGGAAGACGGUUUUCGGAUU